This 538-nucleotide long non-coding RNA is filed under the name Numida meleagris (helmeted guineafowl). Its description in RNAcentral is "lncRNA (ENSNMEG00000020667.1)". Lineage: Eukaryota; Metazoa; Chordata; Aves; Galliformes; Numididae. The record is from RNAcentral.
CCAGCAUCUUGCUGUGGGUCCACUCACUCUGCCCCUACGGCCGCCGUGAUAGCACCAUGUGCUGUGGCAGGCGGCCAUUUUGGCACCCCGCGUGUUGCUUGCAGCAGGUGGAGGCUGCCUGGAGCUGGCUGCACCUAGCUGCUGCUUCACCAUCUCCACACCCAAAGGUACCACUGCAGCUCCCGGCCACUGAACCCCCACUGUUUGCAUCAAGUACAGGACCAGCAGCAGUGCUACCUCAUCAGACUGCAGCAGACAGCAAACAAGGAAGCGGGCACAUUUGCCAUUUGUAUGAAUAGCUUUGCAAGGCAACCCAACUCCUUUCAAAAAGAGCGUUACUUCAGCUUCUUCCAGAGUGGUGCAUGCUAGAAGAAGAACAUACCUCAGAAAAUAGCAUCUCACCUGAGUUAUAUGUUGAUACAUUAGCAGCAUUUUACAUUCAUGUCUUGCCUUUGGCAUAAUCUACUCUUGUACUUUCCAUUGUAAGACUGUGGUAUAGUUGGAUAGAUACCUGCGGACAAGUUACUCAUACCUUCAC